Molecule: long non-coding RNA, 756 nt
Filed under: Callithrix jacchus (white-tufted-ear marmoset)
Lineage: Eukaryota; Metazoa; Chordata; Mammalia; Primates; Cebidae
Description: lncRNA (ENSCJAG00000086710.1)
Source: RNAcentral
CAAACCCACAGCAGCACUGUUUGCCAUUUAAUGUUGCUUUCUUUGUUUGCUCUAAAACGUAGUUCAUCUUGAAAAUGGACUAUAUUUAUUUGUUUAUUCACCAGUUUUUGUUUGCCUAGAUAGAGCGAAUGGAUAUAAACAAACAUUUGCAUGACCUCUUUUUCAGAUUUUUUCUUUCUGCCUAAUUCCCAGCUCUUUCCGGUCUGACUAGAGUCCUGAAUAUAAAGUAUGCUAGUUACUGCAGAGCUCCACAGAUAUGGGAACUUCAUAUUCCUAAUUGAUAAUGAAAUUCCAUAAAACAUAAAUCGUCUCUAGAGUUUAGCAAAAAUGGAGUAUUUAUCAUGUGAAAAGCAGUACUGGGGACUGGCCACUCCAAUAUGUGCACUGUUCACAAGAUGAGUUGCAACCUCCAACUUGACUAGCUUCAGACAACCCCUGCUACGCUUUCUGUACCUGUAAAUCCAUUGUUACCUGUUCUAGAAUUGAAUGCUGUACAAGAAGCAUGGCGGGGAGGCCUCAGGAAACCUACGGUCGUGGCUGAAGAUGAAGAGGGAAUCCUGUCUUACGUGACUGGAGCAGGAGGAAGAGUGGUGAAGCAGGAGAUGCUACGCACUGUUAACCAGUUCUUGUGAGAACUCACUAUCUCAAAACAGCAAGCGGGGAUAUCGGUCCUCGUGAUCCAAUCACAUCCCAUCAGGCCCUUCUAACAAUAUUGGGAAUUACAAGUUGACAGGAGAUUUGGCCAGGGACACAAAU